RNAcentral lists this transfer RNA (65 nucleotides) under Sycanus falleni. RNAcentral describes it as "tRNA-Leu". Lineage: Eukaryota; Metazoa; Arthropoda; Insecta; Hemiptera; Reduviidae. The record is from RNAcentral.
CUUAAUGUGGCAGAAAAGUGCAAUGAAUUUAAGCUUCAUCCAUAAAGAUUCAUCUUUCAUUAAGA